GGCGGAGCUGGCAAAUGGAGAAGGCGGGAGGGUGUUGACGCCCCGCUAUCUCCUGUACCGUCUACCCUCCUCCAUCUCUACCUUCAGCUGUGACUGCGCUCAAAUCUCCUCACGUCCUACUCAAUCAUACCGUGUCUCUUUCCUCGUCCACAGACGAGUUUCUUCAAGCGUAAUCUACGCUUAGUGUCUUCACUUCCUUCCUGUGUGUGUUGUGUUCUACACUGCAGCUUCUGCCCCCGCGGAAAAUGUCCUUGUUGCAGCCAGUGUCCUUGUCGCCAAACCCACUGGAGGACAAGGUAGAGGAGGUGGGAGUCCUUGUAUCAUAAUGAAGCCAAGCGCUGGCAGUGGAUGGAGCAAACUGGGAGAGAAAGAGAGACAGAAUGACUCUUCUUCACAACUUCUUCCCAGAAUACAAUGCUUCAGCUCCAGGCCGGCUCAGUGGCCUCAGCCCUCUGAAAGUCUCAGAGACGACAGCCCUGUUAGGCUCUGUUGGCCGUCAGAGUUCUUGUCCUGCUCUCGACCUCCUGGCCCUGUGGGUAGGACAAUCAGGAGAUGGCUUAUUACACCACCCAGAACUUGCCGUUCUCAGCGUGACCAGGCAUCCGGGAAUUUCUGAGCAGCUUUAGAAGGAGGAAAUGAGAGGCUGUUGAUUCAUUCUGGAUUAAGAAAAAUCAGAUUUGAUGAAGGAAGACCCCCUAAAGAAUCUGCAACAGGAGAAGAUGGUCCAGAUGAUCCAACAUUUCAGAGAAUCUCUGUUGGAGUUUCCUCUGAGUUCUACAUCCAGAACAGCCUCAAGACUGCUGGCUGAGAUGA
This is a long non-coding RNA of Myodes glareolus (Bank vole), 813 nucleotides long. RefSeq lists it as uncharacterized. Lineage: Eukaryota; Metazoa; Chordata; Mammalia; Rodentia; Cricetidae. The record is from RefSeq and is a predicted model, not a curated record.